RNAcentral lists this ribosomal RNA (301 nucleotides) under uncultured bacterium. Its description in RNAcentral is "partial 16S ribosomal RNA". It matches the Rfam family "Bacterial small subunit ribosomal RNA", at positions 509 to 807 of the family's 1533-position model. The record is from RNAcentral.
CAGCAGCCACGGUAAUACGUAGGUGGCAAGCGUUGUCCGGAAUUAUUGGGCGUAAAGGGCUCGCAGGCGGUUUCUUAAGUCUGAUGUGAAAGCCCCCGGCUCAACCGGGGAGGGUCAUUGGAAACUGGGAGACUUGAGCGCAGAAGAGGAGAGUGGAAUUCCACGUGUAGCGGUGAAAUGCGUAGAGAUGUGGAGGAACACCAGUGGCGAAGGCGACUCUCUGGUCUGUAACUGACGCUGAGGAGCGAAAGCGUGGGGAGCGAACAGGAUUAGAUACCCCCGUAGUCCCUGUCUCUUAUAC